CCUACGGGAGGCUGCAGUGGGGAAUAUUGCACAAUGGGCGCAAGCCUGAUGCAGCCAUGCCGCGUGUGUGAAGAAGGCCUUCGGGUUGUAAAGCACUUUCAGCGGGGAGGAAGGCGUUAAGGUUAAUAACCUUGUCGAUUGACGUUACCCGCAGAAGAAGCACCGGCUAACUCCGUGCCAGCAGCCGCGGUAAUACGGAGGGUGCAAGCGUUAAUCGGAAUUACUGGGCGUAAAGCGCACGCAGGCGGUCUGUCAAGUCGGAUGUGAAAUCCCCGGGCUCAACCUGGGAACUGCAUUCGAAACUGGCAGGCUAGAGUCUUGUAGAGGGGGGUAGAAUUCCAGGUGUAGCGGUGAAAUGCGUAGAGAUCUGGAGGAAUACCGGUGGCGGAGGCGGCCCCCUGGACAAAGACUGACGCUCAGGUGCGAAAGCGUGGGGAGCAAACAGGAUUAGAUACCCCUGUAGUC
This 465-nucleotide ribosomal RNA is filed under the name uncultured Klebsiella sp. RNAcentral describes it as "bacterial SSU rRNA". It matches the Rfam family "Bacterial small subunit ribosomal RNA", at positions 338 to 795 of the family's 1533-position model. Lineage: Bacteria; Pseudomonadati; Pseudomonadota; Gammaproteobacteria; Enterobacterales; Enterobacteriaceae. The record is from RNAcentral.